RNAcentral lists this long non-coding RNA (1171 nucleotides) under Equus caballus (horse). RNAcentral's name for it is "lncRNA (ENSECAG00000059870.1)". The record is from RNAcentral. Lineage: Eukaryota; Metazoa; Chordata; Mammalia; Perissodactyla; Equidae.
CGACUUUUAAGCUGAGUCUUAGGGAAUGAAAAGCCCUUGCAUGUACUUGCCACUCAUCUAUAUUUGAACUCAGUCAAGAUGAUGCAGUGGGAACGUUAGUCAUCCCAUGAGGCCCUUGAUAUGGGAAUAGGUUGGCCUAGUUUGAAAAGAACAGCAUGGCCAUUUCGGCUCCAACAAGCUACAACAUGAGAGUGAAAGUUUAGCAGUUCUGAAAACAUACAAGGAAUGUGUGUAACCUCAGUUGUUUAAUAAAAAUUAAAAAAAAGAAAAGGAAAGAAAAUAGAGUCUUAUAACAACUUUUAGGAAAAACUCGCAAAGUCCAUGAGCUUUUAACAAAUGCCCUGCAAUGCCCUCUUUUUCUUUCACCUCUGGGAAAACUAAGAGAACGUAUGCCAAAGGUGGCCUGCUGGAGUCCUACUCCAUCUGCUAUGGUAGCCCCUCCAUGGGUUGUUCUAGUGAGUGGACACAGGCCAUCGUGCAGCCCAGCAUGGCUGUGAUGGCUAGAGAAGGGAAGCUGGUCAAUUGGCGUUAGACAGACACAAAUAGCUCCUCCUACUCUAACACCAUAGCUCAGAGUAAAUAAGAUUGUGUCCCUGGUUUGCACUUGUACAGACAUUAGGUCAUUUAGCCCUCACAAUGCCCUGUGAAGUAAGAUCAUCUUCCCUUCUGUUUGUGGACAGGGAACUGGGAAAAGGAUAAGUGAAGUAACAUCCCUUUUCUAGAACUAGAAAGGAGCAGAGCUGAGGUUCUAAUCAGAUCUUUUGAAGAUCAAAAGAGAUUAUUUGGAAAUUUCAGAAAUGAUGCAAAAAUGAGUAAUUAUAGACAUCUGUUUGCAACAAUACGGCAAAGUGGAUAUGCAGAGAAACAGUCCUAGAAGAGAGUAACAAGGAUGAAGAGAAUAUCUUAAAAGGACUUAGAAAUAAAAGAUGAUCAACCAAGAAUUGGAAGAUUGACAGCUGACUUCUCAGCAACCUCUUCCUGAUGGAGAUUAAUAUCAAUUACUCCUGAAUAGACAAAGCAGAAGAAGGUUUACUCUUAAGCUGCUAAUGCUUAAUCUUCAAGGCUACUCACUUGCUCAAGCCUCUUUCACAUGGUCAUAUGAUUUUUUAAUAUUUGCAAAGAAAGAUAUUUGUAUUUUUUUGUGAUUUCAUUUCUCAUUCCAAAUAAAUCC